AUUUGGGUCAAAAGUACAAUUAUACUAUAUUUGAUAGCCAUAAAAGAUAAAAUCAUAAAAUCAUAAUCAUCUUUUAGUUAUCUUGCUGAUUAUUCGUUAAAAAAAUCAAUGGUUUUAUUUGGAGGGGUUCAUUGUAUUUAACCUACGAUUCUAAUUUAGAUACAUACAUUUUUCGGUAAUUAUUUUGAUCGGUCAGUCCAAAUGCCCACGCCACCGUUCGCCGCCCACGCCACCGUCGCCGCCACCGACUUGACCAAAGCCACACCUCCGUCUUAUUAUUAUACUGUGGACAAUGCUGAGUUGGUGAUUUCAAAAUUUCCAGAUUGUGAGACAUGGAAGUAAUAAUUUAGGCCUAUUAGCAGUGGAUAUUGGGCUUACGUACUCUUUCGAAAAUCCAAGAAUGGCUAAUGAAGAGUCCACAAAACAUAGUCAGGCUGGAAGAGCAAUCAAGACCAAGAUGAAAUUUUGGAAAUUUCCAAAGAGCAAUCAAUACCAAGAAUGGCGGUCCGUUUUCAGUAUUGCCAAAAUAUGUUUGGCCUAUUAGCAGUGGGUAUUGGGCCUAGAUACUCUUUCAGAAAUCCAAGAAAUGGAUCGUAGAAGUUCAAAAACGUCGUAAGAGUUAUCGAUGAAGAAAUAUCCUAUGCUGGAAAUAUGCAGAGGACCGAGAUCGAUUUUAAGAGGGAAACAAGCGACUCAAACAACUGUCAUCAGUGCCACAAUAAGGACAAAGAAAAUGUCCCAGAAGAAGUGUGUCAUCAAUUGGUGCAAGUAAUACUUAAGAAGUCUGUUUGUACCGCCUUUUGAGCAUGGGAAUGUACGCCAGAAUCCAGCUCAGCCAGGGGAGAAACCUAGUAUUUCACAAAUGAGGAGGGAGUUGGAGCGGAUGAAAUUGGCUCUCGAAACGAAAGCCCACCUUUUUCAACCCCAUAUGAAAGACUAACUCUUAAAAGAGAUUUUGCUCCUCACUGACAAAAUAAAAUCCAGUGCUGGCGGCUCUUCUUCGUCUUAGUGACAAAAUAAACGAGCGGCUAAGGAGGCAUUCAAAUGCUUGUCUUUCAAGCUAUACACACAUCAAGCUGGAUACCUCAACAUGCCAGCGAAAACACCCAAGAAGUCGUUGAAGCCAAACUUGAGGCCAAAGAUAUGCUUUGGUUAUGGAGUUGACGAGGACCUUGGCUUCUGUUCUGCAACCAAGCUUCAAUAUGCUCUUUCAGAUAUGGUACAUUUGCACCAUCUAUACUCAUCGGAAUUUUCAUCAGAAUUCUCCGCAGAUGAAAAGGAGUGUGUUGCAGGUGAUUAAAUUUACUCUUGAAAGAAAACGGAGAAUGUUUUCAACCGCAUAUGAAAGACUAUCUUUUAAAAUAGAUUCCACGCCUCGCUAACAAAAUAAACUCCAUUUGCAGAGUCGUAUUCGUCUUAGUGACAACAUGAAAGAAGGAAUUUGCAUUUAUAUUAUUUUUCGUGCAAUGGAUUAUCUACUGAUGAGUUGAUGUAUUUGUAUAUAUUUUUGGGUAAAAUAUACUUUACCCCGUGUAAUAAGCUCAAUCGAGAGUCGUAUUCGACAUAGUGACAACAUGAAAGAAGGAAUUUGUAUUUAUAUGUUUUUUUUUCUAAUGAAUUAUUUACUGAUGAGUUGAUUUAUUUCAAUUUGA
This is a long non-coding RNA of Erythranthe guttata (spotted monkey flower), 1652 nucleotides long. RefSeq lists it as uncharacterized. The record is from RefSeq and is a predicted model, not a curated record. NCBI's taxonomy places the organism in Eukaryota, Viridiplantae, Streptophyta, Magnoliopsida, Lamiales, Phrymaceae.